GUCUUCAGUGGCAAAACAGUGGAGUUGAUGAUUGUUCUUUCAAAUAUUCUUGACUACGUAUUCUCUUGUGAUCUGAAAGUUUGUUUUACUUGCAAAUACGUAUAGUCAAGAAUAUUUGAAAGAACAAUCAUCAACUCCACAGUUUUGCCACAGAUGACAA
This is a non-coding RNA of Paramuricea clavata, 160 nucleotides long. NCBI's taxonomy places the organism in Eukaryota, Metazoa, Cnidaria, Anthozoa, Malacalcyonacea, Plexauridae. The record is from the annotation of a GenBank genome assembly.